CGGGGGAUUAGGGUUCGAUUCCGGAGAGGGAGCCUGAGAAACGGCUACCACAUCUAAGGAAGGCAGCAGGCGCGCAAAUUACCCAAUUCUAACAGCAUAAGAGAGGUAGUGACAAGAAAUAACAAUACAAGGCAGUUAAAAUGCUUUGUAAUUGGAAUGAUAGAAAUUUAAACACUUUUUAAAGUAUCAAUUGGAGGGCAAGUCUGGUGCCAGCAGCCGCGGUAAUUCCAGCUCCAAUAGCGUAUAUUAAAAUUGUUGCAGUUAAAAAGCUCGUAGUUGAAUUUCUGCUAAAAAAAACCGGUCUGCUUUUAAUAAAAGUGGUAUCUUGGUGUGUUUUUAGCAAUAAUGUCUUUUGGAAUGUUUUAUUACUUUAUUGUAAUAAAUCAUAUUCAGGGUUUUUACUUUGAGAAAAUUAGAGUGUUUCUAGCAGGCUAACGCUUUGAAUACUGCAGCAUAGAAUAAUAAAA
This 467-nucleotide ribosomal RNA is filed under the name Hepatozoon sp. Its description in RNAcentral is "bacterial SSU rRNA". It matches the Rfam family "Eukaryotic small subunit ribosomal RNA", at positions 363 to 822 of the family's 1831-position model. Lineage: Eukaryota; Apicomplexa; Hepatozoidae. The record is from RNAcentral.